UGUUACUCUGCCUCGGGGAAGGCUGGAGCCAGCUGCAGAGGCAGCAACUCAAGGACAGACCUAACUUGCUGAUUUGUCUCCAUAGCAUUCACCCCUCAGGUGUGGAUCUCGGGAUCCACAGGACCACUGCCUGCCCUCAGCCUAAAGUGGGAGCCUAAAGAUAUCACAAGGAUGUGACAAUCCAAGUCCCCCCUUGACAGAUAUCCUGGCACUGGUCACUAGGUCUCAGCGGUGUGGUCUUUAACCCUGGAACUCUGCAUCGCCUUGGAUCUGGACCCCGCCCCCUCAGGGUAAGGAUGGGGUCUCCUGGUCCUGCUCCACGGAAGGACUGACAGACCGACUGUGAUCAAGAUUGUUUCCUUCUUCCUUCCUAUUUAGGAACUUGAAAGUGUGUGUGUGUGUGUGUGUAGGGGGCAGAGUUUCUUCUCUCUGAGCUCUUUCAGGUACACAAUGAUCGGAAGAGCCCACCCAGCCCCUUGGACUUUCAGUUUCACCUGCUUUCAGUCUGCAUUCUAGAAGGCCUGACUACUGCAGCCAGAUAGACUUCCGCUUACUAGGCGUGUCCGCUGCCUUCCAGCAAUGGAAAAGGUUCUCUUUAUCUUCUCUGAGGAUAGACUGUACUGUGCUCUUUCUUUAAAGCAAUCUAAGCAACUACCCUGCCCCAUAGCUGGUAGAGGCAUAGCCUGGAGGGGUCUCUGGGGUGUCACCAGUGACACUCUGACAGUGUUUCUAACUUUGGACAUUGAGCCUUUAAAAAAUGACUCAAAUCUUAGCACUGCACUUAGCAGUGCAAAGUAUCAUAAGACUCCUGAGCUUGAAGCCUGUAGCCACAUUAGGGCGAGGGUGGUGAUGUGACCCAUUUGAGUUAAGUCCCAAGGCUACACCAUGCCCAUCUCUCACCCCUGGAGAUCUGAGUCUGGUGUCCACUGUCCUCCAUAUUGUAGCCUCAGAUUUUAGUCAGAGGAUACUGACCUACGUAUGGCUAAUAGGACAGGUACAACUUCCAUAACCUCCCUCACAUACCUAAAAGCAGGGUUGAGGGGAGGUGUGGUUGGAACAAAGAGCUCACUCAAGUGAUUCAAAAGCCUUCCUGUCAACUGUACCCCUUUACAUCACACACAGCCUGAGCACUACAAACACUUUUAGGGGAGUAUUUUUAGAUUCUAAGAUGUUCCAAACUCCAGGAAAGAUAUUUUUCUAACUUGGGCAUAUUAAACAACUCAUAAGCAGUCCAUCCAAAGGCGCUAGGACCAUUAUCAGUGCGGAGCUGUUACACCAGACAGAAGUAAUUGCCAGGACCUAGAACACCACCUCUGGUCCCUGAGAGGCUGCGUCAGGAACACCAGCCAGCUGGCUCCAACGUUUCCAGUCAUCUGCUUGUACCGCAGCCAUGUGGAUCCUUACUGAAAAGCCUGAAAUUUCUCAAAAAGAAGAAAAAAAAAUCCAACCAGCAAAACAAAACCGUCUAAAGUUUCCUCAAAAGCAGUGUGCUUGUGUGGGCCUGGGGAGACGCUCCGUCUCCAAACUGUUUGCUUCAGAGAUGUGAGGACCCAAAGUUCUGAUCCCCAGUAGCAUGUGAAAAAGCCAAGUGCUGUGGUGCAAACCUGAAAUCCCAGAAGUGGGUAUGCAAAGACAUGAGGGUCUCUGGGCGUCCUGACUAAUCAGCAUGGUGGAAUGGAUGGACGCCAUGAGAGACCCUGUCUCAAAGAAACAAAGUGGAGAGCCACCUGAUAAUAGCCUCUGACUUUCUCAAGCUUCCGCCUUCAACUGUGUGUCUAAUCACACAUAGGCACACGCUCACGCUCAUUUCCCCCUCAUUAGCCUACACCCCAUUUAAAAACAACCACCAUAGCCUGGCCUGUAUUUAACUUUUUUUUUUCAAAUGUGUUUUCGGAGGUUUUUUUCACUAUUCCAUUUGUGUUUGCAAAAUGAGUGCAUUAAAGAUCUUUUAGGGGCUGGAGAGAUGAUGGCUCGGUGGUUAAGAACACCGACUGAUCUUCCUGAGUUCAAUUCCCAGCAACCACAUGGUGGCUCAUAACCAUCUGUAAUGGGAUCCCAUGCUCUCUUCUGGAGUGUCUGAAGACAGCUACAGUGUACUCAUGUACAUAAAAUAAAUAAAUCUUAAGAUCUUUUAGUCAUAA
Apodemus sylvaticus (European woodmouse) is the source of this 2141-nucleotide long non-coding RNA. RefSeq lists it as uncharacterized. The transcript has 2 exons. NCBI's taxonomy places the organism in Eukaryota, Metazoa, Chordata, Mammalia, Rodentia, Muridae. The record is from RefSeq and is a predicted model, not a curated record.